This 253-nucleotide ribosomal RNA is filed under the name uncultured bacterium. RNAcentral describes it as "partial 16S ribosomal RNA". It matches the Rfam family "Bacterial small subunit ribosomal RNA", at positions 524 to 776 of the family's 1533-position model. The record is from RNAcentral.
UACGAAGGGGGCUAGCGUUGUUCGGAAUCACUGGGCGUAAAGGGCGCGUAGGCGGCUUUAUAAGUCGGGGGUGAAAGCCUGGGGCUCAACCACAGAAUUGCCUUCGAUACUGUAGAGCUUGAGACCGGAAGAGGUAAGUGGAACUGCGAGUGUAGAGGUGAAAUUCGUAGAUAUUCGCAAGAACACCAGUGGCGAAGGCGGCUUACUGGUCCGGUUCUGACGCUGAGGCGCGAAAGCGUGGGGAGCAAACAGG